This 416-nucleotide ribosomal RNA is filed under the name uncultured Gammaproteobacteria bacterium. RNAcentral's name for it is "uncultured gamma proteobacterium partial 16S ribosomal RNA". It matches the Rfam family "Bacterial small subunit ribosomal RNA", at positions 355 to 774 of the family's 1533-position model. The record is from RNAcentral. Lineage: Bacteria; Pseudomonadati; Pseudomonadota; Gammaproteobacteria.
UGGGGAAUAUUGGACAAUGGGCGCAAGCCUGAUCCAGCAAUGCCGCGUGUGUGAAGAAGGCCUGUGGGUUGUAAAGCACUUUCGGGAGGGAGGAAGAUACCGUAAGGUAUUUGACGUUACCUCCAGAAGAAGCACCGGCUAACUCUGUGCCAGCAGCCGCGGUAAUACAGAGGGUGCGAGCGUUAAUCGGAAUGACUGGGCGUAAAGCGCGCGUAGGUGGUUAUACAAGUUGGGUGUGAAAUCCCUGGGCUCAACCUAGGAAUUGCAUUCAAAACUAUAUGACUUGAGUGGAGUAGAGGUAAGUGGAAUUUCCGGAGUAGCGGUGAAAUGCGUAGAUACCGGAAGGAACACCAGUGGCGAAGGCGACUUACUGGGCUCUAACUGACACUGAGGUGCGAAAGCGUGGGGAGCAAACA